RNAcentral lists this ribosomal RNA (253 nucleotides) under uncultured bacterium. Its description in RNAcentral is "partial 16S ribosomal RNA". It matches the Rfam family "Bacterial small subunit ribosomal RNA", at positions 524 to 776 of the family's 1533-position model. The record is from RNAcentral.
UACGUAGGGUGCGAGCGUUGUCCGGAAUUAUUGGGCGUAAAGAGCUCGUAGGCGGCUUGUCGCGUCGAAUGUGAAAACCUGCGGCUCAACUGCAGGCUUGCAUUCGAUACGGGCAGGCUCGAGUUCGGUAGGGGAGACUGGAAUUCCUGGUGUAGCGGUGAAAUGCGCAGAUAUCAGGAGGAACACCGGUGGCGAAGGCGGGUCUCUGGGCCGAUACUGACGCUGAGGAGCGAAAGCGUGGGGAGCGAACAGG